CCUACGUGAGGCAGCAGUGAGGAAUAUUGGUCAAUGGACGAGAGUCUGAACCAGCCAAGUAGCGUGAAGGAUGACUGCCCUAUGGGUUGUAAACUUCUUUUAUAUGGGAAUAAAACGUUCCACGUGUGGGAUUUUGUAUGUACCAUAUGAAUAAGGAUCGGCUAACUCCGUGCCAGCAGCCGCGGUAAUACGGAGGUUCCGAGCGUUCUCCGGAUUUAUUGGGUGUAAAGGGAGCGUAGGUGGAUGGUUAAGUCAGUUGUGAAAGUUUGCGGCUCAACCGUAGAAUUGCAGUUGAAACUGGCAGUCUUGAGGACAGUAGAGGUGGGCGGAAUUCGUGGUGGAGCGGUGAAAUGCUUAGAUAUCACGAAGAACUCCGAUUGCGAAGGCAGUUCACUGGACAGCAACUGACACUGAGGCUCGAAAGUGUGGGUAUCAAACAGGAUUAGAUACCCGGGUAGUC
This 460-nucleotide ribosomal RNA is filed under the name uncultured bacterium. RNAcentral describes it as "partial 16S ribosomal RNA". It matches the Rfam family "Bacterial small subunit ribosomal RNA", at positions 338 to 795 of the family's 1533-position model. The record is from RNAcentral.